AACGAACGCUGGCGGCAUGCCUAACACAUGCAAGUCGAACGAGACCUUCGGGUCUAGUGGCGCACGGGUGCGUAACGCGUGGGAACCUGCCCUUAGGUUCGGAAUAACUCCCCGAAAGGGGUGCUAAUACCGGAUAAUGUCUUCGGACCAAAGAUUUAUCGCCUUUGGAUGGGCCCGCGUUGGAUUAGCUAGUUGGUAGGGUAAAAGCCUACCAAGGCGACGAUCCAUAGCUGGUCUGAGAGGAUGAUCAGCCACACUGGGACUGAGACACGGCCCAGACUCCAACGGGAGGAGGAGUUGGGGAAUAUUGGACAUUGGGCGAAAGCCUGUCCCGGCAUGGCCGGUUGAGGGAUAAAGGCCUAGGGUUGUAAAGCUCUUUUACCCGGGAUGAUAAUGACAGUACCGGGAGAAUAAGCUCCGGCUAACUCCGUG
This 432-nucleotide ribosomal RNA is filed under the name uncultured bacterium. RNAcentral's name for it is "partial 16S ribosomal RNA". It matches the Rfam family "Bacterial small subunit ribosomal RNA", at positions 29 to 507 of the family's 1533-position model. The record is from RNAcentral.